GAGUUUGAUCGUGGCUCAGAUUGAACGCUGGCGGCAUGCCUUACACAUGCAAGUCGAACGGUAACAGGUCUUCGGAUGCUGACGAGUGGCGAACGGGUGGGUAAUACAUCGGAACGUGCCCAGACGUGGGGGAUAACGAGGCGAAAGCUUUGCUAAUACCGCAUACGAUCUAAGGAUGAAAGCAGGGACCGCAAGGCCUUGCGCGUUUGGAGCGGCCGAUGGCAGAUUUAGGUAGUUGGUGGGAUAAAAGCUUACCAAGCCGACGAUCUGUAGCUGGUCUGAGAGGACGACCAGCCACACUGGGACUGAGACACGGCCCAGACUCCCUACGGGAGGCAGCAGUGGGGAAUUUUGGACAAUGGGCGAAAGCCUGAUCCAGCAAUGCCGCGUGCAGGAUGAAGGCCUU
Molecule: ribosomal RNA, 406 nt
Filed under: uncultured microorganism
Description: bacterial SSU rRNA
Rfam family: Bacterial small subunit ribosomal RNA
Source: RNAcentral